UUGAACGCUGGCGGCAGGCCUAACACAUGCAAGUCGAGCGCGAAAGGUUUUCGGACUGAGUAAAGCGGCGGACGGGUGAGUAACGCGUGGGAAUCUGCCCAGUAGUGGGGGACAACAGUCGGAAACGACUGCUAAUACCGCAUACGCCCUACGGGGGAAAGGGGGGGAACUUCGGACCUCUCGCUAUUGGAUGAGCCCGCGUCGGAUUAGCUAGUUGGUAGGGUAAAGGCCUACCAAGGCUACGAUCCGUAGCUGGUCUGAGAGGAUGAUCAGUCACACUGGAACUGAGACACGGUCCAGACUCCUACGGGAGGCAGCAGUGGGGAAUAUUGGACAAUGGGGGCAACCCUGAUCCAGCCAUGCCGCGUGUGUGAAGAAGGCCUUAGGGUUGUAAAGCACUUUCAGUGGGGAGAAAGGUUUGUCACCUAAUACGUGAUGAAAUUGAUGUUACCCACAGAAGAAGCACCGGCUAACUCCGUGCCAGCAGCCGCAGUAA
This 496-nucleotide ribosomal RNA is filed under the name uncultured bacterium. RNAcentral's name for it is "partial 16S ribosomal RNA". It matches the Rfam family "Bacterial small subunit ribosomal RNA", at positions 30 to 523 of the family's 1533-position model. The record is from RNAcentral.